This 440-nucleotide ribosomal RNA is filed under the name uncultured bacterium. RNAcentral describes it as "partial 16S ribosomal RNA". It matches the Rfam family "Bacterial small subunit ribosomal RNA", at positions 338 to 795 of the family's 1533-position model. The record is from RNAcentral.
CCUACGGGUGGCAGCAGUGGGGAAUAUUGCACAAUGGGGGAAACCCUGAUGCAGCAACGCCGCGUGAGUGAUGACGGCCUUCGGGUUGUAAAGUCCUGUUUUUAGGGACGAUAAUGACGGUACCUGACGAGGAAGCACCGGCUAACUCCGUGCCAGCAGCCGCGGUAAUACGUAGGUUGCGAGCGUUGAUCGGAAUUACUGGGCGUAAAGGGCGCGUAGGCGGGAUUUUAAGUGAGAUGUGAAAUACUAGGGCUUAACCUGAGUGCUGCAUUUGAAACUGUAAGUCUAGAGUGCAGGAGAGGAGAAUGGAAUUCCUAGUGUAGCGGUGAAAUGCGUAGAGAUUAGGAAGAACACCAGUUGCGAAGGCGAUUCUCUAGACUGUAACUGACGCUGAGGCUCGAAAGCGUGGGGAGCAAACAGGAUUAGAUACCCUGGUAGUC